GGGGAUUUAGCUCAGUGGUAGAGCACUUGCCUGAAGCGCAAGGCCCUGGGUUCGGCCCUCAGCUUCG
Molecule: transfer RNA, 67 nt
Filed under: Rattus norvegicus (Norway rat)
Lineage: Eukaryota; Metazoa; Chordata; Mammalia; Rodentia; Muridae
Rfam family: tRNA
About the family: Transfer RNA (tRNA) molecules are approximately 80 nucleotides in length. Their secondary structure includes four short double-helical elements and three loops (D, anti-codon, and T loops). Further hydrogen bonds mediate the characteristic L-shaped molecular structure. tRNAs have two regions of fundamental functional importance: the anti-codon, which is responsible for specific mRNA codon recognition, and the 3' end, to which the tRNAs corresponding amino acid is attached (by aminoacyl-tRNA synthetases). tRNAs cope with the degeneracy of the genetic code in two manners: having more than one tRNA (with a specific anti-codon) for a particular amino acid; and 'wobble' base-pairing, i.e. permitting non-standard base-pairing at the 3rd anti-codon position.
Source: Rfam by way of RNAcentral